RNAcentral lists this ribosomal RNA (467 nucleotides) under uncultured bacterium. RNAcentral describes it as "partial 16S ribosomal RNA". It matches the Rfam family "Bacterial small subunit ribosomal RNA", at positions 28 to 506 of the family's 1533-position model. The record is from RNAcentral.
GACGAACGCUGGCGGCGUGCUUAACACAUGCAAGUCGAACGGAAAGGCCAUGCUCUUGCUGGGUGCUUGAGUGGCGAACGGGGGUGUAACACGCGAGUAACCCGCCCUUGUCUUAGUUAUAACUCUAGGAAACUGGGGAGAUUACCGGAUAGGAGCUCCUGCACCACGGUGGUGGAUGGAGAGUUGCGGCGGUUGGGGCAGGACUCGAGGCUUAUCAGCUUGUUGGUCGGGUAGUGGAUUACAAAGGCUUCGACGGGUAGCCGGCCUGGGAGGGUGACCGGGCACAUUGGGACUGGGAUACGGCCCAGACUCAUACGGGAGGCAGGAGUGGAGAACAUAGCACGAAGGGCCGAAGGCUGGUGCAGCAACGCCGCGUGGGAGAAGACGGCCUUCGGGGAGUAAAACGCUUGCGAGUGUCACGACGCGUCAGGGACGGUAAUGAGUAGAGAAGCACCGGCUACCUACGU